RNAcentral lists this ribosomal RNA (290 nucleotides) under uncultured bacterium. RNAcentral's name for it is "partial 16S ribosomal RNA". It matches the Rfam family "Bacterial small subunit ribosomal RNA", at positions 392 to 697 of the family's 1533-position model. The record is from RNAcentral.
CAACGCCGCGUGAGGGAUGAAGGCCUCUGGGCUGUAAACCUCUUUUAUCAAGGAAGAAGAUCUGACGGUACUUGAUGAAUAAGCCACGGCUGAUUCCGUGCCAGCAGCCGCAGUAAUACGGGAGUGGCAAGCGUUAUCCGGAAUUAUUGGGCGUAAAGCGUCCGCAGGCGGUCUUGAAAGUCUGUUGUUAAAGCGUGGAGCUCAACUCCAUUUCAGCAAUGGAAACUAGAAGACUAGAGUGUGGUAGGGGCAGAGGGAAUUCCCGGUGUAGCGGUGAAAUGCGUAGAUAU